AGCCUGAUCAGCCAUGCCGCGUGUCUGAAGAAGGCCUUCGGGUUGUAAAGGACUUUUGUCAGGGAAGAAAAGGUUGUGGUUAAUACCCAUGACUGAUGACGGUACCUGAAGAAUAAGCACCGGCUAACUACGUGCCAGCAGCCGCGGU
RNAcentral lists this ribosomal RNA (148 nucleotides) under uncultured Alcanivorax sp. RNAcentral describes it as "partial 16S ribosomal RNA". It matches the Rfam family "Bacterial small subunit ribosomal RNA", at positions 380 to 521 of the family's 1533-position model. Lineage: Bacteria; Pseudomonadati; Pseudomonadota; Gammaproteobacteria; Oceanospirillales; Alcanivoracaceae. The record is from RNAcentral.